Molecule: ribosomal RNA, 550 nt
Filed under: uncultured Actinomycetes bacterium
Lineage: Bacteria; Bacillati; Actinomycetota; Actinomycetes
Description: bacterial SSU rRNA
Rfam family: Bacterial small subunit ribosomal RNA
Source: RNAcentral
GUAAUGGCCUACCAAGGCGACGACGGGUAGCCGACCUGAGAGGGUGACCGGCCCACUGGGACUGAGACACGGCCCAGACUCCUACGGGAGGCAGCAGUGGGGAAUAUUGCACAAUGGGCGGAAGCCUGAUGCAGCGACGCCGCGUGAGGGAUGAAGGCCUUCGGGUUGUAAACCUCUUUCAGCAGGGACGAAGCGUGAGUGACGGUACCUGCAGAAGAAGCACCGGCUAACUACGUGCCAGCAGCCGCGGUAAUACGUAGGGUGCGAGCGUUGUCCGGAAUUACUGGGCGUAAAGAGCUCGUAGGCGGUUUGUCACGUCGUCUGUGAAAUCCUAGGGCUUAACCCUGGACGUGCAGGCGAUACGGGCUGACUUGAGUACUACAGGGGAGACUGGAAUUCCUGGUGUAGCGGUGAAAUGCGCAGAUAUCAGGAGGAACACCGGUGGCGAAGGCGGGUCUCUGGGAAACAACUGACGCUGAGGAACGAAAGCGUGGGUAGCAAACAGGAUUAGAUACCCUGGUAGUCCAUGCCGUAAACGGUGGGCGCUAGG